GACGAACGCUGGCGGCGUGCUUAACACAUGCAAGUCACGGGGGCCCGCAAGGGUAACCGGCGAACGGGUGCGUAACACGUGAGCAAUCUGCCAUACACUGGGGGAUAGCCGGCCCAACGGCCGGGUAAUACCGCAUACGUUCCUCGCCUGGCAUCAGGUGGGGAGGAAACCUCCGGGGGUGUACGAGGAGCUCGCGGCCUAUCAGCUAGUUGGUGGGGUAACGGCCUACCAAGGCGAUGACGGGUAGCUGGUCUGAGAGGAUGGCCAGCCACAUUGGGACUGAGAUACGGCCCAGACUCCUACGGGAGGCAGCAGUGGGGAAUAUUGCGCAAUGGCCGCAAGGCUGACGCAGCGACGCCGCGUGGGGGGAUGAAGCAUUUCGGUGUGUAAACCCCUGUUGCUCGGGACGAACAACCCUUUUCGAGGGGUCUGACGGUACCGGGUGAGGAAGCACCGGCUAACUCCGUGCCAGCAGCCGCGGUAAU
RNAcentral lists this ribosomal RNA (485 nucleotides) under uncultured bacterium. RNAcentral's name for it is "bacterial SSU rRNA". It matches the Rfam family "Bacterial small subunit ribosomal RNA", at positions 28 to 524 of the family's 1533-position model. The record is from RNAcentral.